GAGGGGCAAGGGAGCAGAGAAACUCCUUUUGUACAUUUACAAUAAGAGUGAAAAUAAAUAUAUAAAUGUAUAUAUCGACUGUAUAUACAUUGUGCACAUGAAAUGACUUCAUUUUCAAGAAAGCGGCUCUUUCCUCAUCAUUUGCCACGUUUUGAUGUAUAGAAUAUAAACCCCCCAAUCCAUCCAGUGAGUAAUUAAAAGACACAGAAAUGCUUAGACAACAGCCAUGCACUCAAUCUGGCGAGCACAAUGAGAGGAAGAGUGUUCAAGAAAGCGGGCUCAACCAUUUGCACACAAAUGCAAGCGCAAACUAGAUAUUUGUUGUGUGAUUUGGCUUUUAGCCUAAAAUAAUAUACAGCAUUAGACAUGGUUUUCAUAAUCAGGUAAAACAGACAUCUAUUUCUCCAUCCUGUCCAUUCUUUAAAAAGGAAAAAAAAAAACCCCAAUGAGGACUAUUAGUAUAGAUGUAAUUACGGCUAACUGCAGUAUUAUCCCGGUGAUAGAAUUCAUGUGAGCCAAAUGCCAAAAAAAAUGCUCCGCAGCAUCUUUCUCAACAAUAGAGGGAAUUUGCAAAUGCACAUGAAGUUAAAUGUUAAGUCUGGCUUAUUAACAAGUAAACAAACCUCGUCGCAGGAAUAAAUAAGUUACCAUAAAACAGCCUGCUUUUUUGUGCAGGAAAAAAAGGAGGAAAAUGUCCAGCGUUAAUAUGUUAAUCAGCAACGAGAGACCUUUUAGUGGCAACGCAGAUGCAUGAUGGGAAAUUAACCGUUUGACAACGCAGAGCAUGUUCGCUGCAUGUUGCUCGAAAGCAGGCGACUAUUUGCUGUGAUGUCUGAGGAUUCGAGGACUCUGAAUCUUUUUAACCCUCCUCCUGUUGUGUUUUUAAGACUGGGAACAGCUGUAGACAAACUUUAUUUAGCCGCGUACAUGUGAACACAAAACCUAUGGGAUAUUUUUGUCUGUGCAGGCUGUACAUAAACCAGUACAGCCUAAACACAUGUCAGUUUUUACUUGUGCAGCUUCUAUUUGCUUUACACAAACAUGAAGCAUAUGUGCAGGGUGGUGGUGGGGAUUGAGAAGAAUUAUGAGAUUAUAGUAAACAGUAACUCCUCUUCAUGAAAGCUCUUUUCACCAAAGACUGUUUGGACUGGGUAGGCCAUUUAAUUAUUCAAGCCACUAUUUGAAAGCAAAGGAGCAAAUUAAAAGCAAAAUGUGGACUACUACGUAAAAAGCUUCUUGUGUGUGUGUUGCAAAUAUUGCUGCAUGCGUGUAUAUUUCAAAGCAAUGUCGUGUUUUGUUCCUGUAAAGCAAAAGCAAAAUGAUCAAAGCAUGCAUUAUAUACUUUUAAUUUGACAUUUAAUUAUAUUAAAUGUGUGUGAGGGAACAUUAGUGUGAUUAAAUCUGGGCCAAGUUUCAUUUCCAAAAGUGCCAGUUCAAAAAAAAAAAGAAAAGAAAAAAGGUCAGAGUGCGAUCAUGUGAUCAGGCGCAGGUGAUGCUUCUGACUUCCUCCACGCGCUCAGCCAAAGGAGGAUGAGGCAGUCUGCGUCUGCACUGAACGACAGCCACAAGGAUGCAGAGGUGAAGAUGCCGGUAACAAAAUAAAUAACAGCGACAGACACUGAGUGUGCUCCCGCUCCAUCAUUCAAGGCAGCGGCGGCAGCAGCAUAGCCUAUCAUUAUGAUAUUAAAGGGUCCUGUAGAUUAGAAUCACCAGGGCGGCAUCAGAGGCAGGUGUCCCCACGGCAUGCAUGAUAACAUGCUGCCAGCCCCCAGUAAACUCUCAGGUACCUGCUGAGGCAAUCCGGGGAGAGGCCAGCUUGGAUCUCCUCUGCUUUGGUCUGGUCUGUGUGGGCUCGGGUUUGGAGGGCCCCGAGCGGCAGGGUGCCUCUUCUUCUUCCACCGGCUGCCUAAACACAGACACACUGGAUGAGAACCACAGACGGCAAUGCCUUCCCCUUUUCCUCCUCGCCCCCUAACACUGCUGGCUGGGCUGCAGCCAGCUAACACAAUCACAGCUUUCACCGCAUCCAGAUAAGGCACAUCAGUGAUCACCGAGCGGAAUCGUCUGCUUUCAUGGUGCUGCCUGGUCUAGGUGAGUCAGGCAGGCAGAUUCACAGCACAGUGGUGCUACGCUGUGCACAUAAUUCCCCAUCAGUUCUGUUUGACAACACUGCUGAGAGCAGAUACAGAGGAAUUAGCGUCAUAAUAUUUGUUUUUAUGCGUCUUAGAGCGUGAUGACAUGAAACAAUAUUUUUUUUAAUCAGCAAUUCUGUGGCUUGUUUUUUUUUUUUUUGAUCUCACACUCUUUUAUUUUUGCCUGAAAGGAGCCAUGUUGCAACAGAGUGUAAGUGUCACCUGGAUGUAUGAUGCAGCUCUGUUUCUUGCAGCUAUAUUUAAAUUUUUUUGUGCAUGUGUGUGUGUGUUUGUGUGAUUACUCCAUCAAAUAUUGGCUGUAAGAGAAAAUGCAUUUCCUGCCUGAUGAGGUUCACCUCCCCCUCCUACUCAUUUACCGAUAUGCAUAUAUAUAGAUAUAUAUAUGUA
This is a long non-coding RNA of Astatotilapia calliptera (eastern happy), 2540 nucleotides long. Lineage: Eukaryota; Metazoa; Chordata; Actinopteri; Cichliformes; Cichlidae. The record is from Ensembl.